GACGAACGCUGGCGGCGUGCCUAAUACAUGCAAGUUGAGCGCUGAGGUUGGUACUUGUACCAACUGGAUGAGCAGCGAACGGGUGAGUAACGCGUGGGGAAUCUGCCUUUGAGCGGGGGACAACAUUUGGAAACGAAUGCUAAUACCGCAUAAAAACUUUAAACACAAGUUUUAAGUUUGAAAGAUGCAAUUGCAUCACUCAAAGAUGAUCCCGCGUUGUAUUAGCUAGUUGGUGAGGUAAAGGCUCACCAAGGCGAUGAUACAUAGCCGACCUGAGAGGGUGAUCGGCCACAUUGGGACUGAGACACGGCCCAAACUCCUACGGGAGGCAGCAGUAGGGAAUCUUCGGCAAUGGACGAAAGUCUGACCGAGCAACGCCGCGUGAGUGAAGAAGGUUUUCGGAUCGUAAAACUCUGUUGGUAGAGAAGAGCGUUGGUGAGAGUGGAAAGCUCAUCAAGUGACGGUAACUACCCAGAAAGGGACGGCUAACUACGUG
RNAcentral lists this ribosomal RNA (496 nucleotides) under uncultured bacterium. RNAcentral's name for it is "partial 16S ribosomal RNA". It matches the Rfam family "Bacterial small subunit ribosomal RNA", at positions 28 to 507 of the family's 1533-position model. The record is from RNAcentral.